GACGAACGUUGGCGGCGUGCUUAAUACAUGCAAGUCAACUGAAGCAGUGGUAGCAAUAUCGCUGUGGAGGUGGCGCACGGGUGAGUAACACGUAGGUAAUCUGCCUUCAGGUCUGGCAUAACUCCGGGAAACCGGGGCUAAUAGCAGAUGAUGCAGCGGCUCGACAUCGAGACAGUUGUUAAAGCUAUGGCGCCUGAAGAUGAGCCUGCGUCUGAUUAGCUAGUUGGCGGGGUAACGGCCCACCAAGGCAACGAUCAGUAGCUGGUCUGAGAGGAUGAUCAGCCACACUGGAACUGAGACACGGUCCAGACUCCUACGGGAGGCAGCAGUAAGGAAUAUUGCUCAAUGGGAGAAAUCCUGAAGCAGCAACGCCGCGUGAGGGACGAAGGGCUUUUGCUUGUAAACCUCUGUAGUGAGAGAAAAAAAUCCCAAUCGUUGGGGCAUGAUGGUAUCUCAAAAGUAAGCCCCGGCUAACUACGUG
RNAcentral lists this ribosomal RNA (481 nucleotides) under uncultured bacterium. RNAcentral's name for it is "partial 16S ribosomal RNA". It matches the Rfam family "Bacterial small subunit ribosomal RNA", at positions 28 to 507 of the family's 1533-position model. The record is from RNAcentral.